Rattus norvegicus (Norway rat) is the source of this 565-nucleotide non-coding RNA. NCBI's taxonomy places the organism in Eukaryota, Metazoa, Chordata, Mammalia, Rodentia, Muridae. The record is from RefSeq and is a predicted model, not a curated record.
UGAAAUGCAAAACAAUGGAGUCUUCUUUGGUCUGUGAUAGAGCCAAGGUGAAGCCCUUUAGGCCAAGUGACAUGGAAUGAAACUAACAUUUAUUGAGAACUCUUCAAAAAAAAAAAGAAAAAAGAAAAAAAAGAAAGGACGGAAGAAAGAAAAAAGAAAAUAAGAAAAGCUACUUUUAAGAACUCCUCAUUUAUUCUCAAGAUGGCCCUCUCAACAACCACAGCGCGAGAUGACAGCCACCAGCUCUGCUCAUUCAUUCUGACUUAACGCUUACUCCGCGGUGCUGUGGGAUGAAUCGUGCCUUCCCUGAAAUCCAGAUGCUAAAGCUCUCAGUUGAUCUGUGACUGUACUGCAACAAAAGCCUUUAAGGAGGUACACGGAGGUGAUUUCUUAUUCAGCAGGACUGGUGUCCUUAGAAGAAGAGGAAAGGAGGUCCCACAGCUUCCUUCACUGGGUAAGGACAGGGUGAGAGUGUACCUAUCUGGAUGUCAGAAGCACUCCAUCCUAGGUUUCGUAGCCUCUCCAAUUGUAAACAAAUCAAAUAAAUUUCUGAUGUUCAAGUUGU